This is a non-coding RNA of Nicotiana tabacum (common tobacco), 216 nucleotides long. Lineage: Eukaryota; Viridiplantae; Streptophyta; Magnoliopsida; Solanales; Solanaceae. The record is from RefSeq and is a predicted model, not a curated record.
UUGAAUAAUUGCGAAAAAGUAGAACCUUUUCUUCGGGAGCAUAAAGAAGAGUUGAUGAAGCAAGUUGUUGCGAAUAUAGAAGAGAAACAUAGAGAACAAUUUCCUUUAUGGUUCAAAAAGAAAAUUAUGCAAUUAUAUAAUAAGGAAAAGUCAGUGUCUAUCAAUCAGUUAUAUCCUUUGGCAAUAGGACCUGAUGUGAGUGGAAGAACAUAUACU